RNAcentral lists this long non-coding RNA (211 nucleotides) under Mytilus galloprovincialis (Mediterranean mussel). The record is from RNAcentral. Lineage: Eukaryota; Metazoa; Mollusca; Bivalvia; Mytilida; Mytilidae.
GAAAAUCUUUAGAUUUUAUACACCAACGGUAUCAACUAUAUAUAACGAUAGUGUAUAAGAUCUUAAGGACUUUUAUACACCAGGAAAAGGUUUGGGAAAAAUAUUUAGGAAUUAAGAGUUAUCAGUGCACUUUAAGUAAGUACCAUUAUUUUGCCUUUUAUGUAUUUUUUAUUCGUGCUUCACUGAUGAUUCUUCUGUAGAAGAAACGCCC